GCACUGCUGAGGAGUCCAACAACGGGACGAAACGGCCGUCCAGUGC
Molecule: non-coding RNA, 46 nt
Filed under: Schistosoma mattheei
Lineage: Eukaryota; Metazoa; Platyhelminthes; Trematoda; Strigeidida; Schistosomatidae
Source: RNAcentral